UACGGGGGGAGCAAGCGUUGUUCGGAUUUACUGGGCGUAAAGGGCGCGUAGGCGGUCAGCACAAGUCAGUUGUGAAAUCUCCGGGCUUAACUCGGAAAGGUCACUGAUACUGUGCGACUAGAGUGCGGAAGGGGCAACUGGAAUUCUUGGUGUAGCGGUGAAAUGCGUAGAUAUCAAGAGGAACACCUGCGGCGAAGGCGGGUUGCUGGGCCGACACUGACGUGAGGCGCGAAAGCCAGGGGGAGCGAAACGGG
RNAcentral lists this ribosomal RNA (254 nucleotides) under uncultured bacterium. RNAcentral describes it as "partial 16S ribosomal RNA". It matches the Rfam family "Bacterial small subunit ribosomal RNA", at positions 524 to 777 of the family's 1533-position model. The record is from RNAcentral.